RNAcentral lists this transfer-messenger RNA (355 nucleotides) under Acutalibacteraceae. RNAcentral describes it as "UBA1213 sp900317395 Standard tmRNA". It matches the Rfam family "transfer-messenger RNA". Rfam says of the family: Bacterial tmRNA, also known as 10Sa RNA or SsrA, is named for its dual tRNA and mRNA-like properties. Its role is to liberate the mRNA from a stalled ribosome. RNAcentral also lists the same sequence under 1 other name. Lineage: Bacteria; Bacillati; Bacillota; Clostridia; Eubacteriales. The record is from RNAcentral.
GGGGACGUAAUGGUUUCGACGGGGAGUGUGAGCAUCGGCAAGCGAGCGGUGGCUUUGCGGAACCACCAUAAAAUCCGUAAAUUCUAAAUAAUAAACGACAACAAUAAAACUGUUGCCCUUGCCGCUUAAUUAGGCAAGCGUUCGUUUCCGGAGUACCACGGCCGGGAUCGGGCGUCGAUUAGUGGUGAACGUGAACGGGAGUGCGGCUCGGCUUCCGUCAUGACUUUGAGCCUACCGAAGCGCAAAGCCUGUUUGUCGGCGUUGCGUCGGGGGAAUCUUAAAUGAUAAACUGCGCUCGGAGAAAACCGUUGUAAGUGCUUUUCGGACAGGGGUUCGAUUCCCCUCGUCUCCACCA